RNAcentral lists this transfer RNA (63 nucleotides) under Rattus norvegicus (Norway rat). It matches the Rfam family "tRNA". Rfam says of the family: Transfer RNA (tRNA) molecules are approximately 80 nucleotides in length. The record is from Rfam by way of RNAcentral. Lineage: Eukaryota; Metazoa; Chordata; Mammalia; Rodentia; Muridae.
GGGGAUUUAGCUCAGUGGUAGAGUGCUUGCCUAGCAAGCGCAAGGCCAUGGGUUCAGUCCCCA